GGCAGCAGUGGGGAAUAUUGGGCAAUGGGGGGAACCCUGACCCAGCAACGCCGCGUGGAGGAAGAAGGUUUUCGGAUCGUAAACUCCUGUCCUUGGAGACGAGUAGAAGACGGUAUCCAAGGAGGAAGCCCCGGCUAACUACGUGCCAGCAGCCGCGGUAAUACGUAGGGGGCAAGCGUUGUCCGGAAUAAUUGGGCGUAAAGGGCGCGUAGGCGGCUCGGUAAGUCUGGAGUGAAAGUCCUGCUUUUAAGGUGGGAAUUGCUUUGGAUACUGUCGGGCUUGAGUGCAGGAGAGGUUAGUGGAAUUCCCAGUGUAGCGGUGAAAUGCGUAGAGAUUGGGAGGAACACCAGUGGCGAAGGCGACUAACUGGACUGUAACUGACGCUGAGGCGCGAAAGUGUGGGGAGCAAACAGGAUUAGAUACCCUGGUAGUCCACACUGUAAACGAUGAAUGCUAGGUGUAGGGGGUAUCGACCCCUUCUGUGCCGCAGUCAACACAAUAAGCAUUCCGCCUGGGGAGUACGGCCGCAAGGUUGAAACUCAAAGGAAUUGACGGGGGCCCGCACAAGCAGCGGAGCAUGUGGUUUAAUUCGACGCAACGCGAAGAACCUUACCAGGUCUUGACAUCCACUUAAACUUACAGAGAUGUAAGGUGUGCUUGCACAAAGUGAGACAGGUGGUGCAUGGUUGUCGUCAGCUCGUGUCGUGAGAUGUUGGGUUAAGUCCCGCAACGAGCGCAACCCUUAUCUUCAGUUACUAACGCGUGAGGGUGAGGACUCUGAAGAGACUGCCGGGGACAACUCGGAGGAAGGUGGGGACGACGUCAAAUCAUCAUGCCCCUUAUGACCUGGGCUACACACGUGCUACAAUGGCCACGACAGAGAGAAGCGAAAUCGCAAGGUAGAGCGGAACUCAAAAAAGUGGUCCCAGUUCGGAUUGUGGGCUGCAACCCGCCCACAUGAAGUCGGAGUUGCUAGUAAUCGCGGAUCAGCAUGCCGCGGUGAAUACGUUCCCGGGCCUUGUACACACCGCCCGUCACACCAUGGGAGUUGGGAGUGCCCAAAGCCGGUGAGGCAACCGCAAGGAGCCAGCCGUCUAAGGCAAGACCAAUGACUGGGGUGAAGUCGUAACAAGGUAGCCGUAUCGGAAGGUGCGGCUG
RNAcentral lists this ribosomal RNA (1158 nucleotides) under human gut metagenome. Its description in RNAcentral is "bacterial SSU rRNA". It matches the Rfam family "Bacterial small subunit ribosomal RNA", at positions 347 to 1520 of the family's 1533-position model. The record is from RNAcentral.